This 915-nucleotide ribosomal RNA is filed under the name uncultured Eubacteriales bacterium. RNAcentral's name for it is "bacterial SSU rRNA". It matches the Rfam family "Bacterial small subunit ribosomal RNA", at positions 540 to 1461 of the family's 1533-position model. The record is from RNAcentral. Lineage: Bacteria; Bacillati; Bacillota; Clostridia; Eubacteriales.
CUUGUCCGGAAUUACUGGGUGUAAAGGGAGCGCAGGCGGACCGGCAAGUUGGAAGUGAAAACUAUGGGCUCAACCCAUAAAUUGCUUUCAAAACUGCUGGCCUUGAGUAGUGCAGAGGUAGGUGGAAUUCCCGGUGUAGCGGUGGAAUGCGUAGAUAUCGGGAGGAACACCAGUGGCGAAGGCGACCUACUGGGCACCAACUGACGCUGAGGCUCGAAAGCAUGGGUAGCAAACAGGAUUAGAUACCCUGGUAGUCCAUGCCGUAAACGAUGAUUACUAGGUGUUGGAGGAUUGACCCCUUCAGUGCCGCAGUUAACACAAUAAGUAAUCCACCUGGGGAGUACGACCGCAAGGUUGAAACUCAAAGGAAUUGACGGGGGCCCGCACAAGCAGUGGAGUAUGUGGUUUAAUUCGAAGCAACGCGAAGAACCUUACCAGGUCUUGACAUCCGAUGCAUAGCGCAGAGAUGCGUGAAGUCCUUCGGGACAUCGAGACAGGUGGUGCAUGGUUGUCGUCAGCUCGUGUCGUGAGAUGUUGGGUUAAGUCCCGCAACGAGCGCAACCCUUAUUGCCAGUUACUACGAAAGAGGACUCUGGCGAGACUGCCGUUGACAAAACGGAGGAAGGUGGGGAUGACGUCAAAUCAUCAUGCCCUUUAUGACCUGGGCUACACACGUACUACAAUGGCGUUUAACAAAGAGAAGCAAGACCGCGAGGUGGAGCAAAACUCAAAAACAACGUCUCAGUUCAGAUUGCAGGCUGCAACUCGCCUGCAUGAAGUCGGAAUUGCUAGUAAUCGCGGAUCAGCAUGCCGCGGUGAAUACGUUCCCGGGCCUUGUACACACCGCCCGUCACACCAUGAGAGCCGGGGGGACCCGAAGUCGGUAGUCUAACCGUAAGGAGGACGCCGCCGAAG